GGGCCCAUAGCUCAGUCCGGUCAGAGCGCUUCCCUGAUAAGGAAGAGGUCCCUGGUUCAAGUCCAGGUGGGCCCA
This 75-nucleotide transfer RNA is filed under the name Acidimicrobiia bacterium. RNAcentral describes it as "tRNA-Ile". It matches the Rfam family "tRNA". Rfam says of the family: Transfer RNA (tRNA) molecules are approximately 80 nucleotides in length. Their secondary structure includes four short double-helical elements and three loops (D, anti-codon, and T loops). The record is from RNAcentral. Lineage: Bacteria; Bacillati; Actinomycetota; Acidimicrobiia.